UCGCAUCUGCGCGUACGCGUGAUACGGGUACUCCAAGUGCUCAUGCUUUUACAUGGUGCUUUUGCCAAGGGUGAAUACCUUGGCGAAUAAGUGGUGGGCAAGACUGGUGCCAGCAGCCGCGGUAAACUC
RNAcentral lists this ribosomal RNA (129 nucleotides) under uncultured euryarchaeote. Its description in RNAcentral is "partial 16S ribosomal RNA". It matches the Rfam family "Archaeal small subunit ribosomal RNA", at positions 348 to 477 of the family's 1478-position model. The record is from RNAcentral. Lineage: Archaea; Methanobacteriati; Methanobacteriota.